AGAAAGGUACUCUGUCAAAGAUAGGGUGGGAUCAAAUGGUAAAUACAAUCACAAUAUGGAAUUCAAGAAAAUAGAUAGUGAAGGUAGAAAGCCUGGUUCUUCUGACCUGGUUGAUGGAGGAAGAAGCUACCCUUCCAAUAAUUUGAAUUGUUGUGCUGGGGAAAAAGAUCGUGCUGUUUUUGAUGAUUCUCAUGAAGCUAGUGGGAAGAACCAUAUGGGGGAUGAUAGGUGGGGAGAGCAGGUUUUGGAUCCAUCAAACGAAAAUGGUUUAGAAAAUGGAUUGGAGUUUGACCGUUAUGAACCUUAUUACAGUGAUGACAAAAAGGAGCAGAAUGAACUUCACGAUGCAUCCUAUUUUUGUGGUUCACCCACUAGAACGAAGUCUCCAGAGAAAACAGGCUUUGGACAAAAUGAUCAUCAUAAAAUUUUGGAUCAUCUCAGCAAUUCAAAAUCUCGAAAAACAUGCUAUGCAUGUGGUAAAGUGGGUCAUGAAAUGCGGAAGUGCCCCUCACAGCUGGAGAGACCCAGAACAAGGCCUCAACUGCCGAGUCAAAGUAGUGAUGCUGCUCCAAUGAGGCAUCAGAAAAACGAUAGGGAGCCAUCGACUUCAAGAAAUAAUCGGAGAUUGCUUAGACGUGGAGGUUCUCCCUCAGCACAGCUUACUUCCAGACAUAGGAAACAAAAGUACAGGGAGAACAAUCGAAAUAAGACAGAUUGUGAAAGUCCAGAUAGACACCGUUCAAAGAAAGCAAGGGUUCUGUUGUCGUCUUCAACCCACUCUGAUUGUACUGCAUCCAGAUUGCAGUCACCUUCAAGAUCAAUAAGCUCAUUCUCUGGGUCUGUUUCCCAUUCCAAGUUCAAAUCAGCAUCAUCCAGAAAAAAUUCCCCGUCCGCUCAUUCGUGGUCUUCAACAUCAUACCAUUCUGGAUCUAAACCCUUCAUGUCGAGGUUGACAUCAAGCUCAAACUCUCCUACAUCUUUGGCUUUACCGGUAGCACUCGAUAGAUGUUUUUCUUCGUCACCAAAUAAAAUGCAAACAGAUUACAGGGGAGACGAAAAACUGGCUAUGCAAUUGCUAAGUGUUUACAGCUAACUUAGAUUAUAUUGAUUCUCAGGUUCAAAUGUGAAAAAAUAAAAAAUUGGCUGAAUGAAAUACAAAAGAGCAUAAAGUUUCACUAAUGUUUUAUUUCGGUUUUUCAUUUUUGGAUUUAGAAAUCACGUUUUAUUUGUUUCUCUUGAGAAUCAGUGACCGGUGGUCACCAUAAUUGAUUAUUUUUAGCCCUACUUUCUGUUUCUACCAUCUCAUUGUUUUAACUCUGCACGUUUUGCGAGAAACAUUAAUUAUUAUUAGAAAGGAAUUUUGGGUUGUGAAUUCAAACUAGUAGCAAUUUUAUAUUCAAACAUGAAUUCAUUUGUUUCUCAUAUCCAAAGCCUGAAUCGCACAUUCCUGUUUAUGCCCAUCCGAAAGUUGUCCUGUUAGAAGCCGGAAAAAUUCAGACAAAUUUCUUGGUCUAUUUAAUGGAAUAAAUACUGGCAAUUAGUAAUAUGCCAUGUUUAUAAAAUUUGUAGGUGAUAUUAGGAUGCUGAGGAAGUGUUUUACUUAAAUUUUUACUAUACGAGGAGUCCAGGACAAUUUUAUAAUGCAUUUUUAAGAAAGAAGUAAUAUCAGUAUAUCACUAUUGAAAAUUGAUAUGCAAGUAGUACAUAUCUUGUUACCGUGUAAGAAUUUUUCCUUGUACUUUUAAGAUUUAAAUGAAAUGUCAGGGAGUGGUGUUCAUUACCAAAGAGUCGGAUAAAUAUCCCUUUAAUAUCCAAGGAUGUUUCGUCAUGAUUCUAUUCAAUAAGAUGAUAGGAAACAGCUGACACUAUUAGAUUUUCUUGUGGAUGCAGGGAAACAAUCAACUUCUUUUAGCACUAAGAACUUGUAAGUGGGACCUGAAACGCCCAUUUCUUUGUACUCUGCAGUUUAUUAGCUGUUGCAUUAUUUGGAGUGGCAUUACUUGACUUUUCAGAUUAUAGUAAAGUGUUGCGCACCUUAUAUUAGAUAGAUAGUUUCUGGUCAGUACCAAAGUUUUCAAAAAUGUUCAGACACCUUGAAUGUGUGUUGUACAAGGUGUUCAUUAGGACCCUCAAAACUUCCACUUUGAGUUCCUUUUGUCAAGACUUACGCCUUAAUUUUAAAGUGCAUGGGGCACGCAUAGAGGUGGCUGAGGUUUUCUCCCCUUAAUCCUUUUUUUAAGUCAUGUUUUCCCAACACGUUUUGAGGGUUCCUCCAGAUUGUUUAAAUGCGCCUCAACUCUAAAAAUUAGAAACAAAAGAAUAGAAUAUUGGAGAAAAUUAGAAAAUAAUGAGUGAAGGGAAUGUGCUUAGCAUAGCUUUGUACUCCUACAACAGAAUACUAAAGAAGAGAACUUGCAACUCUUUGAUUGCUAGAGACCUCCAACAUGUAAUGUCACCCCACUUUAUUCUACUUUUUCUUAUUAUUGAUGUCUCUAUUGUGAUGUUUUCUUUCCUCUGGAAUUUCUUUCCUUUUAAGUCAAAGCAAAUGAAGUUCUCAAAUAACUGAUGCAUCUAUUUUUUUGGACUUUUAGCUCUAGUUGUAGAUUAAUGGUCUUAUAAUGUGAUUACUACUCUACUAAUUUGUUAUUGGCUGCUUUAUUAAUCCAUUUUAUGUUUCUAAUAGUAUGUUAGUCUUUUAGCUUUUCUAAACGGUAUUAAUAAUUAUAUUUUGAAAUUUUUAAUUUUUUAUUAUGUGUAAUUUUCUAUUUUUGUAGUUAUUUGAAAUUCUAUUGGUUUAUGUUGAGCUUUAUACUUCAAAGCAGCCGAGGUUCACCCUUUGCCUCAUGCAAAAACACCUCAAUACCACGUAUACAUGCAUGCACCUAUGUUUCUAAGUACUUGAUGUAAUUUUCAGGUUUUAAAUUUUUUCUUGUUUUUUGCUACAGAUGUCUUUGCAUCUUGGUAAUCUGUCAUCUCGCAUUCGUAAAGAUGAAUUGGAACGUGUUUUCCGAAGGUUUGGUAGGUGUACUGUACGGAUAAAAGACAAAUACGGGUUUGUAGUUUAUGAUUACCCUGCAUGUGCUGAAAAAGCUCUGAAAACACUUCGAGGCAAAAGAAUUUGUGGAGAGCCAAUAACCCUAUCGUGGUCAAAUAGGCAGCGUCAAGCCUUGCAGCUAUUUGAUAGAGGUGGUAAAUCAUACAAGGCACCACAAGAAAGGUACUCUGUCAAAGAUAGGGUGGGAUCAAAUGGUAAAUACAAUCACAAUAUGGAAUUCAAGAAAAUAGAUAGUGAAGGUAGAAAGCCUGGUUCUUCUGACCUGGUUGAUGAAGCAAGAAGCUACCCUUCCAACAAUUUGAAUUGUUGUGCUGGGGAAAAAGAUCGUGCUGUUUUUGAUGAUUCUCAUGAAGCUAGCGGGAAGAACCAUAUGGAGGAUGAUAGGUGGGGAGAGCAGGUUUUGGAUCCAUCAAACGAAAAUGGUUUAGAAAAUGGAUUGGAGUUUGACCGUUAUGAACCUUAUUACAGUGAUGACAAAAAGGAGCAGAAUGAACUUCAAGAUGCAUCCUAUUUUGGUGGUUCACCCACUAGAACGAAGUCUCCAGAGAAAACAGGCUUUGGACAAAAUGAUCAUCAUAAAAUUUUGGAUCAUCUCAGCAAUUCAAAAUCUCGAAAAACGUGCUAUGCAUGUGGUAAAGUGGGUCAUGAAAUGCGGAAGUGCCCCUCACAGCUGGAGAGACCCAGAACAAGGUCUCAACUGCCGAGUCAAAGUAGUGAUGCUGCUCCAAUGAGGCAUCAGAAAAACGAUAGGGAGCCAUCGACUUCAAGAAAUAAUCGGAGAUUGCUUAGACGUGGAGGUUCUCCCUCAGCACAGCUUACUUCCAGACAUAGGAAACAAAAGUACAGGGAGAACAAUCGAAAUAAGACAGAUUGUGAAAGUCCAGAUAGACACCGUUCAAAGAAAGCAAGGGUUCUGUUGUCGUCUUCAACCCACUCUGAUUGUACUGCAUCCAGAUUGCAGUCACCUUCAAGAUCAAUAAGCUCAUUCUCUGGGUCUGUUUCCCAUUCCAAGUUCAAAUCAGCAUCAUCCAGAAAAAAUUCCCCGUCCGCUCAUUCGUGGUCUUCAACAUCAUACCAUUCUGGAUCUAAACCCUUCAUGUCGAGGUUGACAUCAAGCUCAAACUCUCCUACAUCUUUGGCUUUACCGGUAGCACUCGAUAGAUGUUUUUCUUCGUCACCAAAUAAAAUGCAAACAGAUUACAGGGGAGACGAAAAACUGGUAAAAGGUGUCAGUGGCACCAAAUCUGAAAAUAUUACAGUUACGGAAAAUGAAUCUGCAGCCGCAGCAUUGAGAGAGGAAGGAAUGAAAAAGGAUCUUGCCAUAAGGGAAGACGCACACAAUAUUGCCUUCACCAGUGAUUCAUGCCAACUGCUAGAGUCCUAUAACACGCAGUCAGACAACAGUAAUCACAAUUGGGAUAAUUUGAUGUUGCAAAGUGAGAAAGAGAUGAGGGAAACUCCAAAUGAGUACUGUGUGGUGGAACAUACAUCGGCAAAAGAGCCUGAAAUCUCCGUGAGAUCAAAUGCUGCCCAGUCAACAAGACUGUCCUCUGAGGAAAUGUACACGGUUCUAAAACAUUAUCGACUGGAGCAUCCUGAGGAAGAUAAAAAGGAUCUACCUGCUGAAACGUAUCUAGGGUGUGCUCGUACAUGGCCUUGGGAGAUAAUAUACUAUAGAAAACUGAAGAAGGGUGCAAUUUCAGCCGAGAACUAUGCACGGAGAAUUGCUCAGAAUAAAGAGUUCUGUAUCGUCGAUAAUUACAUUCGUGGCAGUAGUGGAUGGGGAGAAUUGGGUGAAGAUAAUCCUUGAGCAGUUGUUCCGUUGACUAGUACAUUAUAUUCAUCGUUGCACAACAGUUUUGGACCUGAAUGAUCGUCCCUUGCAAAUUUCUUGAGACACGUAACGAAGCCUUGAUCAUAUACUUGCCAUGUAAUUCUAUGGUUAUGUUUUGCUACAUUUAAGAACCCAUCCAUAUCUGCUCAAGAAUAUAGACACACAAUGCUAAAGCUUCCGACUUUCUUACCGCCUUCAAGUGGUGAUGUGUUCUGUAGAAACACAUCUUCCAGAGUAGAAACAGAGGCAUUAUUGAGUUGCUGUUUGGUCUCCAUUUUAAUAUUAAUAUAUUUUUUAUUUCUUCUUUUCAACCACACAUUUUUUAAUAAAAUAAUAGUACACGUACAUUCAAAACUUUUCCUUCUUCUUUAAUCACAUAUUAUCCAAAAAAUUAUUAUUCUAAAAUAUAUUUUUUCCAAAACCUCGAUAAAAUGGAUCCCAAACAAGGGUUGAAUAAUGUAGUAACAUAAGAAUUUUGUGAAUCUUUUUCAUGCUCUCAAAAGACUGAAUAAGUUGUGACUUGUCUGAUUACAGUAGUAGCCGAGUUCUAAGUUACUUAAACUUCAUUUAAAGAAACUUUUUAUCUUUAUAACACUUUCGAAUUUUGAGCUUUGGAGAGCCUUUCCUUGUUAACCCAAUGCUCUCCAAGACAUGUUUCGUUUUUUACGUACUCCUACAACAGAAUACUAAAGAAGAGAACUUGCAACUCUUUGAUUGCUAGAGACCUCCAACAUGUAAUGUCACCCCACUUUAUUCUACUUUUUCUUAUUAUUGAUGUCUCUAUUGUGAUGUUUUCUUUCCUCUGGAAUUUCUUUCCUUUUAAGUCAAAGCAAAUGAAGUUCUCAAAUAACUGAUGCAUCUAUUUUUUUGGACUUUUAGCUCUAGUUGUAGAUUAAUGGUCUUAUAAUGUGAUUACUACUCUACUAAUUUGUUAUUGGCUGCUUUAUUAAUCCAUUUUAUGUUUCUAAUAGUAUGUUAGUCUUUUAGCUUUUCUAAACGGUAUUAAUAAUUAUAUUUUGAAAUUUUUAAUUUUUUAUUAUGUGUAAUUUUCUAUUUUUGUAGUUAUUUGAAAUUCUAUUGGUUUAUGUUGAGCUUUAUACUUCAAAGCAGCCGAGGUUCACCCUUUGCCUCAUGCAAAAACACCUCAAUACCACGUAUACAUGCAUGCACCUAUGUUUCUAAGUACUUGAUGUAAUUUUCAGGUUUUAAAUUUUUUCUUGUUUUUUGCUACAGAUGUCUUUGCAUCUUGGAGAAAAAUAUACAAAACUGCCCCUGUGAUUGCCUUUUGUUUAUUUUUUAUUUUUUGUGAUCAUUAUUGCAACAUAUAUUCCAAGUCAAAAAAAGAAAAAAGAAAAAAAAACAACCGCUUCGUAGUGUGGGGGACCAUCGAAUGACUAUCUACUUGAAAGGUCAUUCUCUUAUCUUAAACUUAGCCUACCAAAUACCUGAUUAGCUCAUCCUUGAGCCUCAUUUUUGGGCCCUUACCCCAUGCACCUCGAUAGCUUAAGAAUAACUAAUCAAUAUGGGGUGAAUUGAUUUUUAAAAACUUUUUCGAAAAAUUGAUUCAAAUUUAAGUUGAGAAUGAACAAGUCAAUCAAACAAAAAAUGCAAAUGUAUGAAAGCGCUAAGUAAAUGGGAAGAGAGUGUAAACAAUAUAAGCAAGAAGCUACCCUUCCAACAAUUUGAAUUGUUGUGCUGGGGAAAAAGAUCGUGCUGUUUUUGAUGAUUCUCAUGAAGCUAGCGGGAAGAACCAUAUGGAGGAUGAUAGGUGGGGAGAGCAGGUUUUGGAUCC
This 6681-nucleotide long non-coding RNA is filed under the name Olea europaea (common olive). Its description in RNAcentral is "long non-coding RNA (OEUR_LNC000731)". The record is from RNAcentral. Lineage: Eukaryota; Viridiplantae; Streptophyta; Magnoliopsida; Lamiales; Oleaceae.